Long non-coding RNA from Magnolia sinica, 973 nucleotides. RefSeq lists it as uncharacterized. The record is from RefSeq and is a predicted model, not a curated record. The transcript is spliced from 3 exons. Lineage: Eukaryota; Viridiplantae; Streptophyta; Magnoliopsida; Magnoliales; Magnoliaceae.
GAAGGAGAGCUGCUAGAAGACCUUAUCAUUCAGAUCCAGAUCCAAAUCCAUUCUCUCUCUCUCUCUCUCUCUCUCUCUCUCGAUUGGAAGAAGGAGAGCUGCUAGAAGACCUUAUCAUUCAGAUCCAGAUCCAAAUCCAUUCUCUCUCUCUCUCUCUAUUGGAAGAAGGAAAGCUGCUAGAAGACCUCCUUAUCAUUCAGAUCCAGAUCCAAAUCAGUUCAAGCCUGCAAGGCCAGGGGAUCGGAUCUGAGGGUUCACUUCAAGGUACAUUGACCUUCAUCCUUUUACCUGUUUCUGCUUCUAAGCAUUUCAUGUGAAUUUUAGUUAUCUUUAAAAAAAAAUGAAUUUUAGUAAUCUCAUAUAUUUUGGAAUUGUGAUUGUUACUAAAGUUGGUUUUGAUUUCUCUAAGAAGUCAAUCACUAUCUAUCUGGAUACAAUAUUUAGCUGCAGUGUAAGAAUACAUUAAUUGUCAAAGUGGACAUGUUACCUUGUAUUUUAUGAAUUGAUAUUUCUAUAUUUGAUUCUGGACCCAUAUUGGAUACUGUAUAAAUGGGCUUUUGUAGGUGUGUAAUCAUAGUAGGGGCAAGAUGGUUAGAGCUUUGUCUUAAAGAAAAUUGAAAGAGGGAGAAAUGUGCAUGCUUGAUUUAAUUUAUUGAUUUGGAUGGAGUGGAAGCUAAGGCACUUAUCCAGUAUCUUCGCCUGAUUUCCUUCCAUGUUUCUGGGACAGUUCAUAGUAAUGCAACUGCUCGAGUUUGAUCUCAUGGGUAACUCAAUAAUCUGCAGGCUAUUGUGUGUUUUGUGAAUAUUCUUAAAGAACUUCAGGAACUUGCUAGAGAAACUUGUCAAGAAUUGUCUUCUUCAUGUCUCUUAUUAGGUUACUGAUACAGUCAGCAUCUCCUUAGGGCAUGUUUGGUCGGGUGGAUUGGAAGGGAUUGAAUGGUAUUAGGGUGGAUGGCAUGGAUUUCAAGGUAAU